Molecule: ribosomal RNA, 672 nt
Filed under: uncultured bacterium
Lineage: Bacteria
Description: bacterial SSU rRNA
Rfam family: Bacterial small subunit ribosomal RNA
Source: RNAcentral
GGGGGAUAACCCGGAGAAAUCCGGCCUAAUACCGCGUAACACCUUUUGGGAGCAUUCCCGGGAGGUUAAAGGAGAGAUCCGGCAUAGGAUGGACAUGCGUCGCAUUAGGUAGACGGCGGGGUAACGGCCCACCGUGCCGACGAUGCGUAGGGGUUCUGAGAGGAAGGCCCCCCACACUGGUACUGAGACACGGACCAGACUCCUACGGGAGGCAGCAGUGAGGAAUAUUGGUCAAUGGCCGAGAGGCUGAACCAGCCAAGUCGCGUGAGGGAAGAAUGUCCUAAGGAUUGUAAACCUCUUUUGUCGGGGAGCAAAAAGGCUCUGCGGAGUCGUAUUGAGAGUACCCGAAGAAAAAGCAUCGGCUAACUCCGUGCCAGCAGCCGCGGUAAUACGGAGGAUGCGAGCGUUAUCCGGAUUUAUUGGGUUUAAAGGGUGCGCAGGCGGCGUGUCAAGCAAGCGGUAAAAUAGCGGGGCUCAACCCCGUCGAGCCGUUUGAACUGGCGCGCUUGAGUUCAGGCGAGGUAGGCGGAAUUCGUGGUGUAGCGGUGAAAUGCAUAGAUAUCACGAAGAACUCCGAUUGCGAAGGCAGCUUACCAGUCUGCGACUGACGCUCAGGCACGAAAGUGUGGGUAUCGAACAGGAUUAGAUACCCUGGUAGUCCACACAGUAAAC